RNAcentral lists this ribosomal RNA (400 nucleotides) under uncultured bacterium. RNAcentral's name for it is "bacterial SSU rRNA". It matches the Rfam family "Bacterial small subunit ribosomal RNA", at positions 28 to 414 of the family's 1533-position model. The record is from RNAcentral.
GACGAACGCUGGCGGCGUGCUUAACACAUGCAAGUCGAGCGGUAAGGCCUCUUUGGGGGUACACGAGCGGCGAACGGGUGAGUAACACGUGGGUGACCUGCCCUCAGCUCUGGGAUAAGCCUGGGAAACUGGGUCUAAUACCGGAUAUGACCUUGCCUCGCAUGGGGUGGGGUGGAAAGUCCUGGGCUUGAUUGUCUGGGCUCGGCUGGGGAUGGGCCCGCGGCCUAUCAGCUGGUUGGUGGGGUGAUGGCCUACCAAGGCGACGACGGGUAGCCGGCCUGAGAGGGCGACCGGCCACACUGGGACUGAGACACGGGCCCAGACUCCUACGGGAGGCAGCAGUGGGAAUAUUGCGCAAUGGGCGGAAGCCUGACGCAGCGACGCCGCGUGGGGAUGACGG